Molecule: ribosomal RNA, 456 nt
Filed under: uncultured Bacillota bacterium
Lineage: Bacteria; Bacillati; Bacillota
Description: bacterial SSU rRNA
Rfam family: Bacterial small subunit ribosomal RNA
Source: RNAcentral
ACAAGCGGUGGAGGAUGUGGUUUAAUUCGACGCAACGCGAAGAACCUUACCUAGGCUUGACAUGCUGGCGAAAACCGUGGAAACACGGUCCUCCCGCAAGGGACGCUAGUACAGGUGGUGCAUGGCUGUCGUCAGCUCGUGUCGUGAGAUGUUGGGUUAAGUCCCGCAACGAGCGCAACCCUUAUCAUUAGUUGCUAACAUUCAGUUGAGAACUCUAAUGAGACUGCCAGUGAUAAACUGGAGGAAGGUGGGAUGACGUCAAAUCAUCAUGCCCCUUAUGACCUGGGCUACACACGUGCUACAAUGGCCGGUACAAAGAGUUGCGAAACUGUGAAGUUAAGCUAAUCUCAUAAAGCCGGUCUCAGUUCGGAUUGUAGUCUGCAACUCGACUACAUGAAGUCGGAAUCGCUAGUAAUCGCGAAUCAGAAUGUCGCGGUGAAUACGUUCUCGAGUCUU